GAUGAAGAACGCAGCGAAAUGCGAUAAGUAAUGUGAAUUGCAGAACUCAGUGAAUCAUCGAAUCUUUGAACGCACAUUGCGCCCGCCAGUAUUCUGGCGGGCAUGCCUGUCUGAGCGUCAUUUCAACCCUCAUGCCCCUAGGGCGUGGUGUUGGGGAUCGGCCAAAGCCCGCGAGGGACGGCCGGCCCCUAAAUCUAGUGGCGGACCCGUCGUGGCCUCCUCUGCGAAGUAGUGAUAUUCCGCAUCGGAGAGCGACGAGCCCCUGCCGUUAAACCCCCAACUUUCCAAGGUUGACCUCAGAUCAGGUAGGAAUACCCGCUGAACUUAAGCAUAUCAAUAAGCGGAGGA
Molecule: unclassified non-coding RNA, 348 nt
Filed under: soil metagenome
Description: partial contains 5.8S ribosomal RNA, internal transcribed spacer 2, and large subunit ribosomal RNA
Rfam family: 5.8S ribosomal RNA (bases 1-120)
Source: RNAcentral